AGGACUCCUCUCUCUCCCGGAAGCGGAGCAACGAGCCCGCAAAGCCUCGGUGUGAGACAGCAGUGGUGGCAGACACCGCAGAAGCAAAGAGCACUGAGGCUCUUGCAUUCAGGCGGAGUACCAUGGACGAAGCUGGCAGCUCUGCGAGCGGCGGGGGCUUCCGCCCGGGCGUGGACAGCCUGGACGAACCGCCCAACAGCCGCAUCUUCCUUGUGAUCAGCAAGUACACGCCUGAGUCGGUGCUGAGGGAGCGCUUCUCGCCUUUUGGCGACAUCCAGGACAUCUGGGUGGUGCGGGACAAGCACACUAAGGAAUCCAAGGGCAUUGCUUUCGUCAAGUUCGCCCGCAGCUCACAGGCCUGCAGGGCCAUGGAGGAGAUGCAUGGCCAGUGCCUCGGCCCCAACGACACCAAGCCCAUCAAGGUUUUCAUUGCACAGUCCCGAUCAUCUGGAAGUCACCGAGAUGUUGAAGAUGAAGAACUUACAAGAAUCUUUGUUAUGAUACCAAAGUCCUACACAGAGGAAGAUCUGCGGGAAAAAUUUAAGGUGUAUGGAGAUAUCGAGUAUUGCAGCAUUAUUAAGAAUAAAGUCACUGGAGAAAGUAAAGGUUUGGGCUACGUACGAUACUUAAAACCAUCACAAGCUGCCCAAGCAAUAGAAAACUGUGAUCGAAGUUUUAGAGCAAUCUUGGCUGAACCUAAAAAUAAAGCAUCUGAAUCCUCUGAACAAGAUUAUUAUAGUAAUAUGAGGCAAGAGGCUUUGGGACAUGAACCUAGAGUAAAUAUGUUUCCAUUUGUUGGAGAACAACAAUCUGAAUUUUCAAGUUUUGACAAGAAUGACAGCCGAGGCCAGGAAGCAAUCUCCAAACGCUUGUCAGUUGUAUCAAGAGUUCCUUUCACUGAAGAACAGCUUUUCAGCAUUUUUGAUAUAGUACCAGGAUUGGAAUAUUGUGAAGUUCAACGAGAUCCUUAUUCAAAUUAUGGUCAUGGAGUGGUUCAGUAUUUUAAUGUAGCAUCAGCUAUUUAUGCAAAAUACAAAUUACAUGGAUUUCAGUACCCUCCUGGGAAUCGAAUAGGUGUUUCCUUCAUUGAUGAUGGAAGUAAUGCAACAGAUCUCCUUAGAAAAAUGGCAACACAGAUGGUAGCUGCACAGCUUGCAUCAAUGGUGUGGAAUAACCCAAGUCAGCAACAACUUAUGCAAUUUGGAGGAAGCUCUGGAUCACAGUUGCCUCAAAUCCAGACAGAUGUUGUACUUCCAUCAUGCAAAAAAAAAGCCCCUCCUGAAACUCCUGUGAAAGAAAGACUUUUUAUUGUGUUUAAUCCUCAUCCUUUACCUUUAGACGUAUUAGAAGAUAUAUUCUGUCGUUUUGGUAACCUGAUCGAAGUUUACCUUGUAUCAGGAAAAAAUGUGGGGUAUGCCAAGUAUGCCGAUAGAAUAAGUGCUAAUGACGCUAUUGCCACUCUACAUGGGAAGAUUCUGAAUGGGGUGAGACUUAAAGUUAUGCUGGCAGAUUCGCCAAGAGAAGAGUCUAACAAACGGCAAAGAACUUACUGAUUCUUGAGAAACAGUAGCUCAAGAACACAUGGAUCCUGGGAACUGAAGGUAUGGUAUUGGUAGGAGAUCAGACAGAAAUAUUGAGUUAAAAUAUCAAGUUGUAGUUCAUUCAUUACAAUGGCCAUGCUUUGACUUUAUUUAAGGUAGAAAAGUCUUGUCCUUAGUAGACAAUGCAGCUCCCACUACACUUUGAGAAAGUUACCAGGCUCUGUGAAAAUUUAUUUGAGUAAUUAUCGGAGAAAAAGGGAGUUCUGUGACUGUCAUAUAUGAAUUGAAGGCAGUAUCUGGAUGUCAAAGUCCCUGUGAGCUAGCUAACGUAGGCUGCACCACGUGGGACUCUUAGAAACUGCCUGUCUGACCAAAAUGCUGCAGAAGUGGCAGAAGGAAGGCAUCAGGAGACCAUUUUUAAACAGUUGUUUGUAUAUGAGGUACAAAACUCAAGAACUGUGUGAAAAGGCAAGUACCAGUACUGUUUUCUAAAGAAAUUGGGAGAAAUACUGAACACAGAAGAAUAACCUAAGUGCUUCCACUGAUAACUUCUGUGAAACUAUGUUCUCUGAAUUCUUCUCCAAAUUAUUUUCUGAUUUUGUAAGUAAUGAUGUUACAACUAAUUUUUUUCCUCAUAUAUUAUCAAUAUUUUCUAGCAUUAACAAGACAUAGGUAACAGCAUUCAUUAGCUCAAGAGUUUUUAAGGGUUUUGUUUGUUUGCUUGCUAUGUUUUUUUUGUUGUUUUUUUAAUGCCAGAAAAAAAAUUAAAGUCAUCUACUUUAAAGUUAUAUACUAAUUUACUAGAAGUUCUGAUAUGUAAAAAUAUAUAAUUUCAUUGUUUUCCUCUCUUUGUCAACAAAGCCUAUGUGGGCCGGGCGCAGUGGCCGAUGCCUGUAAUCUCAGCACUGUGGGAGGCUGAGGUGGGCGGAUCACUUGAGGUCAGGAGUUUGAGACCAGCCUGGCCAACAUGUGGCCCUGAAGCUGCACUAUGUUGGAGGUUUCCUUGACUAAGAGAACCACACCUGGCAUUCACCUCGGUAGGGGAGUCAUAAAAGAUCCUGCCUCUGACCAGAAGAGUAUGAAUGACAAAGGUGACAUAACCAGCACAGAAAGAUGUCUUAGCCUCUGCACAUCAGCUGAUUUAGAAUACUUACAGAUGGGGGGCGCUGUGGGGGGGCGGCGCAGAAUGUUCUUUUCAGCUUCUUUGCCCUGAGAACUUUGAUCUUAUUGCAAGGAAGUCCCUUACCCUCUUCCACCCUAGAUCUGACGGACCUCCUGGGAUUUCCUGGGAAAAUGAAAUGAGUCUAACACCUUUGACCACCUGCUGGAUAUUAUAUCAGCACUUACUUGAGUAGACUGUGAAAGAACUGAAAGCAAUAUUCAGAGUCUGCCAGUUAUCUGCAGUUGGCCUAGAUAACCUCAUUUUGAAAUAAGUAACUGAAUGGGCAAAAGAUUUGAACAAGCACUUCACAAAAGAAGACCAAGAGGAGGGCAGGGUUUUUUGUUUGGGGAGUUUUAUUUAGUUUUGUUUUGGGGUUGUUUUGUUUUGGCAGAGGACAGGAGGAGUGGAUAGAUUCAUUUUGUAAAGAAAUAUUAAAAUAUUCUUUUUAAUUUGA
Molecule: non-coding RNA, 3157 nt
Organism: Macaca mulatta (Rhesus monkey)
Lineage: Eukaryota; Metazoa; Chordata; Mammalia; Primates; Cercopithecidae
Source: RefSeq, a predicted model, not a curated record